Molecule: ribosomal RNA, 424 nt
Filed under: uncultured bacterium
Lineage: Bacteria
Description: bacterial SSU rRNA
Rfam family: Bacterial small subunit ribosomal RNA
Source: RNAcentral
GCAGAACGCGAAGAACCUUACCUAGGCUUGACAUACUGGUAGUAGGGAGAUGAAAGUCGAACGACCUUCGGGAGCCAGUACAGGUGCUGCAUGGCUGUCGUCAGCUCGUGCCGUGAGGUGUUCGGUUAAGUCCGAAAACGAGCGCAACCCUCGGCGGUAGUUACAAGUGUCUACCGCGACUGCCUGGGGAAACCAGGAGGAAGGUGGGGAUGAUGUCAAGUCAGUAUUUCCCUUACGUCUGGGGCUACAAACACGCUACAAUGGCCGGUACAAAGGGCAGCCAAGUCGCGAGACGGAGCAAAUCCCAUCAAAGCCGGUCUCAGUUCGGAUAGCAGGCUGAAACUCGCCUGCUUGAAGCUGGAAUCGCUAGUAACGGUAGGUCAGCACACUACCGUGAAUACGUUCCCGGGUCUUGUACACACCG